UACGGGGGGGGCAAGCGUUGUUCGGAAUUACUGGGCGUAAAGGGCUCGUAGGCGGCCAACUAAGUCAGACGUGAAAUCCCUCGGCUUAACCGGGGAACUGCGUCUGAUACUGGAUGGCUUGAGUUCGGGAGAGGGAUGCGGAAUUCCAGGUGUAGCGGUGAAAUGCGUAGAUAUCUGGAGGAACACCGGUGGCGAAGGCGGCAUCCUGGACCGAAACUGACGCUGAGGAGCGAAAGCCAGGGGAGCAAACGGG
RNAcentral lists this ribosomal RNA (253 nucleotides) under uncultured bacterium. RNAcentral describes it as "partial 16S ribosomal RNA". It matches the Rfam family "Bacterial small subunit ribosomal RNA", at positions 524 to 776 of the family's 1533-position model. The record is from RNAcentral.